Long non-coding RNA from Aethalodelphis obliquidens (Pacific white-sided dolphin), 2932 nucleotides. RefSeq lists it as uncharacterized. The record is from RefSeq and is a predicted model, not a curated record. The transcript is spliced from 5 exons. NCBI's taxonomy places the organism in Eukaryota, Metazoa, Chordata, Mammalia, Artiodactyla, Delphinidae.
GCCCUGCCCCUGGGGAAAUUCUAAUGGGCUUCUGUAGACUCUGGCGCGUCAUUGGCCGAAGGGAAUUUGGUGCCACCUCGUCCUGCCGUUGCCAUUGGCUCGGCGCAAUCUGCUGUUUCCUCUGCCGCGAGCUCCUCACUCCCCCUCCCCUCCCUUUCUCCUUCUAGGCUUCUCUUCCACCGGCCGCUGGGCCUCUGCCCGGCACCCCGCCGCCUAGGAGGCGCUCAGAAGGGUCCUCUCUGGAAGAGGGAGAGGACCCGAUCGGGGAACUGGGGAACGGGGGGUGGGUGCCAGCCCAGGACUGGCCCCGGGCACUUCGCGAAUGGAUGGGCACUGGGGAAGUUUCCCGGGGAGGAGUGGGGAAGCCACACGGGCGACCACUACACACAGCUGCACCCCCGCCUUCCCGCUCGCCGAGACGCGUAGGAGUAGAGACUUGCUUUCAAGCCCGGGGUCGCGGGCCACGGGCCCAGCGAAGCCCCGCCUCUCUCCGUGGCGAGCGCGCAGGCGGUGGGGUGGGGGGGUCGGUCCACGGCGGAACAAUGGUUCUGCCCCGCCUACCAGCGGCGCGGCGCUAACCCCGGACUGCUGAACUCGCGGGUCUCCAGCCUCGCGCACGCAUAGAUGCACUGAUGUGUAAACCUGCACGUGCGCACGAUGUUGAGCCACUGGGCACGCCCAGCAGGGGACGUUCACCGCCAGGCACCAGUGAGCUGUCCCAUCCCUGUGCCCACGCCUCCAGAACGUGUGCGGGAUGUUUUGGAGAUUCUUCAGAUUGUCGGGUUGUAGUUUUGGAAUUGCCUUCAUGGGGAAAGGCAGGAAGCACCAGACAUGUGCUUUCACUAAGAAGCAAGAGAAAGUACUUACCCUGGACUUCAGCAGAGAACAAGCUGAAAAAUCAGAGUUCCCUGGAAACUGCCCUCCUCCUCACUUAGACUCAGUUCAGGUGUAUGAACUGAAGCUUUUCGAACAUGAAGAUGAGGAUGGUGGGUUUCGGUUUCUUGGGACAUCCCCAAACAGAUAUGCAAGAAGGUCACACAGCAGGCUUCCUAUUCUCCACCCAAUGUGGGAUUGUUCUUCCAAAAGAGGCUUACUUCCAAGUUCCCACCUGCCUCCCUUUGUACACUCUGCUGCCCCUGCAUGAUGACACACAGGAAGUCAUUAUCACUGUAGUCAGACCCAAUUCGGAAGCCUAAUGCCACCAGUUUGAAGAGAUAACCAAUUUCAGGAGUGAAAAAGUAGUUGGAUCUGUGUCUUUGGAAAGACCCCUGAGGCUUGUGUAAUUCAAGCUUAGCUCAACUCACAUUCCAGUGACCAUGCAGGGAUAAAGAUCACUGUACGUUUUAACAUUUCUUGCAGUGUUGUAACUUUCUCCUUGUUUGGUCUUUUAACUCAGUCUGUUUCCUUGUGCAUACUUUGCUGCAGGGACAAGAUGGGGGAAGAGAGAUAGAAAUCAUCAUUCUAUUCCUCACUGGCCUCAGAAAGUUAGGUCUCCUGCCGUAUAGACACACAGCACUUUUGCUUCUCCCUUGCAGCACUUUUUAUGAUUAUAAAUCAUCAAUUAUUUGUGUAUUUGUUUAAUGUUUAUCUUCUUCACCAGAAUGUAAGUUUCAUGAGACAGGGGCCCUGAUGGUCUCAUUUACUGCUUCAUCCCCAAAGUGUAGCAUAAUCCCUACCUAUAUUCGGCACUCAGUAAACAUCUACAGAAUGAAUUACCAUUGGAAUGAGGACUCAGGAUGGAAGAAUAUGUGUCUUCCGUAAUGGGGCUCUCAGAGGCGGGGACAAGGAGGUGUCUUGGGUGCUUGCCCUGAAACCCUGAGGUGAUGCUGGAAGAGCGAGCCCUGGGGAAUCUGCCCUGGUGCUCCAGUCUCCCCUCCUCACAGGCUUGGGACUUUCAGUCAACAGUGCCUCAUUGUGAAAUUUGGUGAGUGGAUCCGAGGGGACGAAGAAUUGCGUUCUCUCAUGUCCUCUUCCCUGAGCCUCUCUAUCCUCCAUCCCUUUUCCCUCUCAUGCCUUUCUUUCUCCUGGUGUAUCUCCUCGCCUUUCUUUCUAGGCUGGUAUCUCCAGCUCACAUGGAGCUCUUUCCUUCCCCACUCCACCCACUCCAGCAGGUGGCCUAACACUUCACACCAGCUACAGAACACUGCCUGCCACAGGGGGAGCUCUGCCUAGAAGGGAUAAUGCUGAUGGAUUAUGUCAGGACACGUGAGCUCUCCGGAUGACGGGACUACACUCAGCAAGAGGACAUGAUCAUGGCCUCAGACCCAUUUCCCAGGGCUUAGUCAACUGACAACUAACUUUCCUAUUUUUGUUGAUGAUAUCAUCUGUCUCCUACCACGUGGGUUUGAUUGCUUCCCUCCAUCUGUCCAAUCUUCUGUAGAAGGUAUGGACAGAUGGACAUUGAUGUCCAGGAGGGUCCUCUAGAAAUGGGAGGAAAGCUGAGGGUCUCAUUCAAAGGGUUCUUUUUGGAGAGAUGGAAGAUGCAAAGUGUAUUCCAGAAGGACUUUGAAAUCAGGGAGGUGGAAGGAAGGGAGAAAAAGGUUGAAGUGGGUCCUUUUGAUGAGGAGAUGGGUCACCUCCAGCCUCUCUGUGAGGUCCCUGGUGAAAUAGAACAAAGGCUCUUUUCUUGCUGUCCUGGGCUGGGACAGCUGCAACAGGACUUCAUAUACCUGGACCUUCCAACAGAUCUGGCUUGUUCAUUGUGGUGUAUGGAGAAGCUGGGACUUGUGGUGGCCCCUGGUGCAGUGCUGUGGUGUUUGUUACAUGAAAACAGGCAGGGGAGGAGUCCCUUCUGCUUAGCCUACUCAGGUUGUUUGCUUGGUCCACGAUGUUUGUUGUUGAAGUCUUGUGCUACUCGAAUUUCAGUAUUUUUUAAAAUAAAUUUAUUUAUUUAUUUUUUUGUUUUUGGGUGUGUUGGGUCUUUGUUGCUGCU